Molecule: ribosomal RNA, 253 nt
Filed under: uncultured bacterium
Lineage: Bacteria
Description: partial 16S ribosomal RNA
Rfam family: Bacterial small subunit ribosomal RNA
Source: RNAcentral
UACGAAGGGGGCUAGCGUUGUUCGGAAUCACUGGGCGUAAAGGGCGCGUAGGCGGCUUUGUAAGUCGGGGGUGAAAGCCUGUGGCUCAACCACAGAAUUGCCUUCGAUACUGCAUGGCUUGAGACCGGAAGAGGUAAGUGGAACUGCGAGUGUAGAGGUGAAAUUCGUAGAUAUUCGCAAGAACACCAGUGGCGAAGGCGGCUCACUGGCCCGAUACUGACGCUGAGGUGCGAAAGCGUGGGGAGCAAACAGG